RNAcentral lists this long non-coding RNA (558 nucleotides) under Helianthus annuus (common sunflower). The record is from RNAcentral. Lineage: Eukaryota; Viridiplantae; Streptophyta; Magnoliopsida; Asterales; Asteraceae.
GUUCUUCCAUCUUCUUCAACAACAUGAUUUCAACAAUUUUGAACCAAAUCCUCAUACUUUCCCCAAAUUCAUCCCCCAAAUCUUGCCCAACCCCCUAAUCGCUCCUCAAAGGAACCUGCGCAUCUCAUUACUCCCGCUGGCAAGUAUGGGCGUGGAACCCCAAAUCUUGAUAAUUUCCCUUAUUAUCUUCCAGAUCUAGAACCCCAAAGCAUUGGUGAAAUAGGGUUUGAAGGACGGCGGCUGUUUUAGAGGUUGUGAGAGAACUACGGCGGGUGGAGGUAGUGAGAGGAUGGCUGUCGCUUUGUGUUCUGGUGCUCGAUUUGAAGGAAGACGACGAACAGAAGUGGCACCGACGAACAAAUCUGGUUUAACAGAUCUGAUUCAUCAUCUUCUAGUUUCAUAUGUGGAUCCACUGGCUGACUAGGUUCCCCACGACCAUGGGUUGUAGCAUGGAAAUCAGGUUUGACGAGCAUGGAUAAAGAUCACGUAGGAAAUGCCUUAGUCGAAUAAUCGGGAUUGUAUUUUAAGUUUCAUGUUUUGUUUGAUGUUUGGAUUAUU